Molecule: non-coding RNA, 1126 nt
Organism: Malus domestica (apple)
Lineage: Eukaryota; Viridiplantae; Streptophyta; Magnoliopsida; Rosales; Rosaceae
Source: RefSeq, a predicted model, not a curated record
GUCCCUCACACCUUUCACCUAAUCAUUUUCUUUCUCACUCUCUCUCUCUGCCCAAUCAGAAAAGUCACACUUUCUCUCUCUUCUCUUCCUUCACCAAAGCUCCCUUUCUCUGCGACAAGGAAGACCAACGUCAAAACCUUGCAGAUCGAGCUCAAGAACCACACCAUCACACUCCUCUCGUCACCACGAACUCAAUCGUACCCUCAGAUCAUGCGUUGGUUGAGUUUUGGGUGGUCAACACAGAGUAACUCGGAAGCUCCGACUCAGUCCAGUUGGUAUCAUUGUGAACCCGGUCGAGUUAAGAGAUUUUAGGACGUGGGGAAGCUUCCUUACAAUUCCUGAGACUCCUAGGACAAGUUUGAAGAAAAAACAACCUCGAAAGCACACAGGUUCGAGGAACAAAGUUUUGGUUGAACCUAUCGAGCCAUUUUCAGGCCACUUCCUGUCCAUUUUUUUACUUUCAAAAGGUAUAGAUUUGUUCCUCGUCACGAGCUUCAUUUCCAUGUAAAGUUUGCUAAAAAUGGUUAAGAAAUGACCAAGAUAUAAAGGUUUGAAAAUUUUCCAAAAACUUGCGAGUUUUUCCAAUUUCCUACAAAACCAGACGGCGACGGGUGACAAUCUCACCGAAGAAGACAAGGAAUAUUCCAUCAAAGUUGACAAAAUAUUCUAACGGCGUUAGGUAACACCAUUAAUGUCCUUUACUAUUUAACGAAAUAUUUUGUCAAAUCUGAUGGAAUAUUCCUAUGUUUCAUCAGUCAUUGUGCUUGCGCGUGGACAUGGGUUGGACGGUGCGUGAGGGCGCGUCCGGCCUCUGGUCGGCGAGUGGUUUUUACGUGUAGGGGAGACAUACCCUGAGGACGUAUGUGGGCAAGCGAGAUUAGGGGGCUACGAUCCUAUGACAUACCAGUCCUAGAUAGCUAACUUACUAUGUGGCACUCGAGGAUUACCCUACGAUUCUGACAUAUCUCCAUCUUAACGUAGGAACUUAUCUCUAGUUAUGUAAUAAGUACUUUUCUUGUUCGACUGCUUUACCCUUAUGUUAUCUAUGCUCUGAAUAUUUGUAGUUAUGAGUUGUAACCACUACUGCACACUCACUUUAUUAGUUUAAAUAAGUUCUAGUUUUGGU